This 253-nucleotide ribosomal RNA is filed under the name uncultured bacterium. RNAcentral describes it as "partial 16S ribosomal RNA". It matches the Rfam family "Bacterial small subunit ribosomal RNA", at positions 524 to 776 of the family's 1533-position model. The record is from RNAcentral.
UACGAGGGGAGCUAGCGUUGUUCGGAAUCACUGGGCGUAAAGCGCACGUAGGCGGAUGUGUCAGUCAGGGGUGAAAUCCCGGAGCUCAACUUCGGAACUGCCCUUGAUACAGCACAUCUGGAGUCCGGAAGAGGUGGGUGGAAUUCCCAGUGUAGAGGUGAAAUUCGUAGAUAUUAGGAAGAACACCGGUGGCGAAGGCGGCCCACUGGUCCGGUACUGACGCUGAGGUGCGAAAGCGUGGGGAGCAAACAGG